CACCUCUAGCAUUACUAGUAUUAGAGGCACUGCCUGCCCAGUGACACACGUUUAACGGCCGCGGUACCCUGACCGUGCAAAGGUAGCAUAAUCAUUUGUUCUUUAAAUGGGGACUCGCAUGAAAGGCACCACGAGGGUUUAACUGUCUCUUACUUUUAACCAGUGAAAUUGACCUGCCCGCGAAGAGGCGGGCAUAAAACAAUAAGACGAGAAGACCCUAUGGAGCUUUAAUCUAUUAAUGCAAUCAAAAACUACACAAACCCACGGACCUUUAAACUACCGACACCUGCAUUAAAAAUUUUGGUUGGGGCGACCUCGGAGCACAACAAAACCUCCGAAUAACACAUGCUAAGACCACACAAGUCAAAGCGAACUAACACUUACAAUUGAUCCAAUAAUUUGAUCAACGGAACAAGUUACCCUAGGGAUAACAGCGCAAUUCUAUUCUAGAGUCCAUAUCGACAAUAGAGCUUACGACCUCGAUGUUGGAUCAGGACAUCCUAAUGGUGCAGCAGCUAUCAAGGGUUCGUUUGUUCAACGAUUAAAGUCCU
RNAcentral lists this ribosomal RNA (551 nucleotides) under Macaca mulatta (Rhesus monkey). RNAcentral describes it as "partial 16S ribosomal RNA". It matches the Rfam family "Bacterial large subunit ribosomal RNA", at positions 1816 to 2597 of the family's 2925-position model. The record is from RNAcentral. Lineage: Eukaryota; Metazoa; Chordata; Mammalia; Primates; Cercopithecidae.